UAGGUCUAUUGUUGGGCUUAUUUAGGUAACUUUUAUGAAUGGUUCAGUCUUUAACUGACGAUAUUGGAGCGAGUCGAGUUUCAGUUCUAAAGUAAUCUAUUUAUUCCAACUCAGUUCAAUACGCCGCAGAAUUUCAAAAAAUAUUUUUCUAUUUUUUUUGACAGGGAAAAUGUAACAGAUAUUACUAGAAGGUGUCGCUAGAGAAAAGCAUACGAAGUCCUGUUUAGUCGACGGCAAAUGUUGUGCAGCCUUUUUCCAACUAGUCUCUUACAAUUAAGUCUUCAUGCACUGUUCGCUUCAUGCAAUUUAGGCAAUUUAAAUGAGAUAACCCAGAUUCCUAUGUCGCUUACUGAUGGCAUAAAAUAUCAAUAAGAAAAUCCCCGUAAUCUCGUCGACUUCGUCCGAACAUUCUCCAUAGUUAACACGAUUUCCUGUCGGCAGCCACUGUGACACAAUCUGUCAGUUGGUUGAUAGCGUUCGAUUGCCGUGGCUUUAACUACAAUUCCUUUGCUCUCCAAAUUCUGAGUGGAUUUCUCUUGGACAGGAAUACACACGGUCUCCCUACUGAAUGCCAUAGCUGACCUCGGCAUUGUGUAUUCAGCUGGUUCUGAAAAUUCCGUCUUUUCAUGAAAAUUGCUGAACAACGAACGCUCGCAGUAUAGUUUGACAUUGUACUUGUCCUCGUUCCUUAAAAAAACUAAAGAGCGCAUUGGAAAAAGCUACUGGAAAGGCUGGCUUUAAGCUCCAGAUGUCUAGUUCCGUUCUAACUAAUAUCUUAACGAUUAGCGGUAAUGUCGAAGGUAGCACAGACCUUGUGAGUGCAGAAGCCUUAGCUCUUGCAGUCAUAUGGCGAAGUAAGGAAAGAACUAUGCCGAAAAUACGAUUGUAUAUGGUUACCGCCAUUGUUUAACCACAAUGAAGUUGUGACGAUGCGCUGCCAGUGAGAAAAUCAUUUCAACGAUAAAACAAUGAUAAUAUAUGAAUGAUGCUCAUCACCAUCGUGCAGUCUUAACACAACAAUGAAUCCUCAGUUCACGUUCAGGCGUUCAACACGUUCAAGAGGCAGGGCCAGACUUCUGCAUGCGUAAACGCUGUUCUUUUACCGCUAAUAGCUUAACUGUUUUAGGUUAUGUCUUAAUGAUUCAUUGGGACAGGUGCAUAGGCGUGUGCUUAACUGUCGUUUGCGAACACGGGACUAUCGUCAUUGUUUAGUAAUGCUUCCAGAGUCACACAUCUUCGCGAUGCUCCGUGGGAUCGAAGAGCGCUCACAGUCUAACAAAUGCUAAUGAUAUUGAGAAAUUAGGCGAAUUUUAAUACGUCAGAACACAUCGAUGAUAAAAUCUCAUUGAUAACGUAUAAUCGCUAGGAACAAAACGCGAGUGCUUUUCGUUGGAAAAUAAGUUUGUUGUACACGAUUAACUCAUUAAACUGUUGUUUCGACGUCUCGAAACGGGCUCGAAGCUUGCCGCGACAAGGGAUGGCCACCUGUUUGGAGUGUUGUAUAUCGUCUCCGAGCAGCGCAUAGCGGACCCGAUUUGGUCGUUGAAAACGGAUCGGCUCGACGCGCGUCCGGUACUUCAGCCGUUAAACAUCACUUCAUGCAGGCAGCUCCCAGCACGGGACGAAGAAGUUCGAGUCUAGAUCAUCAGCAGAUGUUCGCAACUUCAUCGUGCAAAGACGUCAUCGCUGCGCCGUCAUGAGAAUAAGGAUCUUGUUAGAGUUGUCUCUGUUUGCGGUUACCGUCGGCGCUGCGAAUUAGUAUACCAGCUAUAGACCAGCUCACGUAUCGGUAUCCAACACGGUAGGUCCGAUCCGUACGCUUCAAAGCCAUCACAUAGGUUCCCAAAGAAAAAAAAAAAGCAGUGUUUGCCGAACAUUUUGAUCACCUGGACUCUAGGUAGACCUGUAGAAAUGGUUCAGUGCAGACGCAUCUAUUUUAUUGCUGUUACGGAGCAACCUGUUUCCUACAUGGUCGGCGAAGUGCUGCUUUUGAAUAAAUUCGCUUACCAGAGAUCGUGCGUGACGUUUAAUCCCUAGUGAUCGAGCGUUAUUGACGCAUUACGGUGGCGUCCUUGCCGAUAGGAACCUUGGAAGCGACAGAAGUCAUGGAAAGUUUUCUAACAGCAGGCUAACCUGUUGUUGCUAAGCAUCGGGUUCUAAAAGGAACUCCUGACUGGAACAGAAAGACGUUCAAGGUUUAUGAAAACCAACUGUGAUUCGACAAUUUUGUACCUGAGAGACGGGAGCUAUAUCUAUGUGUUAGGUAUAUCGAGUGCUCGACGGCAAUUGACAUAGGUUCCCGUCAGUAUCAAAAUCAAGCAAACUAGAUCGCGUACUUUUAUAAUCCACCAGCACAAGUACUAAAUCUGAUUUUACUCUAAGUCAGCAGCGGCUAAGAAGACCCCAGGACGUUGACACCAACUAGAGCAUGGGCCAAUCAGCAGUAGGAUCAACGAAUGCUCCUAUAGAAGCUGUAAACAUCGGGGGGUGCACGUCACAAUGAUCUCUAUAAUACAAACUACUACUACCGAUGCCCGGCCUGAUUGCAAUUAUGCCCGGUAAUUCGAUUGUCGCGCCACAGUGUUUUAUUGAGGUUCGCCUUCAGUCAUUAGGUUGCCGAUCACUGAACGAAACGCCAAGCUUUGCAUUGCCGAGCCUGCGCUCGAAACAAGGCUAUCUAGUGCAUAAUGAAAUGCAUAGUAUUACCUGCAGUAAGAUACACGCUCACGUCGUAGCCAUCGUUCCAUGGCCGGUUUUCCUCCCCCUCCCUCUGCAAUUUUCUACGGCAAUUUACACAUAUCUUGUCGUAGGUUAACGCAAUGUAGAGAGUGGCUCCUUGCAGUACAAGUCUUAUCUAGUUAACCAUCGGGUGGAUUUGCCGAUACCAAUAGAUUCGUUGUCACUGCUUGGGUCCGCUCCUACUUGGGUAAAAUCCCACUGGGUCAAUUUUCGCGUCUAGGGCAUCGUUUCGAGUCAGAAUGGAAUCAUUAAGUAGUGGCAAAACCCGUGUUGGCAACCUAUUACAAGCCCUUUCGUCUUACAAUACUGUGGUGAUAAUGAGCUUUAUACUCAAGAAAAGUAGGCGCAGACUAUUAAUAUGAUGUUAAGUUGAUUUAACUUGAAGGUACAAGUAUAUGAUUUUCAAAGUCGCUGGCUUUCAGUGGUUGGCAUGGACGGCAUGGUUUUUUGGGUGUUUAAUCCUUACGCCUAAGUGCAUGUAUGUAGGUAAAUUCAUAUUGGUGCUUAGCUAGGUCAAACAGGCGAAAAGGUUGAAGGAAGAAGCUCUACCCCAAAUGAUGAUGGUACAUUCAUCAGGGGUACAGAACACGACCACCGUGAGAACCACUGCUUGAAGACGGAGUAAGUGAUUUGAAGCCCAUUAACUACUGUUGUUAAUGUAAGCGUAUUCGGAUUUCGCAAUGAGUAUAAUACGAAUUAGUAUAGUGUUGUCAUACAUAUACCAGUUGACAUCAUCUGUGUGGUUAUUUUUGCGGGCCUACUUAUAUCUCGAGUCCACUUUGAUGCCUACAUUGUAACGGUGGUAAGAUGAA
RNAcentral lists this long non-coding RNA (3551 nucleotides) under Varroa destructor (honeybee mite). Its description in RNAcentral is "uncharacterized LOC111248973, transcript variant X2". The record is from RNAcentral. Lineage: Eukaryota; Metazoa; Arthropoda; Arachnida; Mesostigmata; Varroidae.